AGAACGAACGCUGGCGGCAGGCCUCAAACAUGCAAGUCUAGGGGGUGUAGCAAUACAUCACCGGCGGACGGGUGCGUAACACGUGGGAAUAUACCUUUUGGUUCGGAACAACUGAGGGAAACUUCAGCUAAUACCGAAUGUGUCCUUGCGGAGAAAGAUUUAUCGCCAAAGGAUUAGCCCGCGUUCGAUUAGCUAGUUGGUAGGGUAACGGCCUACCAAGGCGACGAUCGAUAGCUGUUCUGAGAGGAAGAUCAGCCACACUGGGACUGAGACACGGCCCAGACUCCUACGGGAGGCAGCAGUUGGGAAUCUUGGACAAUGGGGGAAACCCUGAUCCAGCCAUGCCGCGUGAGUGAUGAAGGCCUUCGGGUUGUAAAACUCUUUCGACGGGGACGAUAAUGACGGUACCCGUAGAAGAAGCUCCGGCUAACUUCGCGCCAGCAGCCGC
This 448-nucleotide ribosomal RNA is filed under the name uncultured bacterium. Its description in RNAcentral is "SSU rRNA". It matches the Rfam family "Bacterial small subunit ribosomal RNA", at positions 26 to 518 of the family's 1533-position model. The record is from RNAcentral.